AAGUCGUAACAAGGUUUCCGUAGGUGAACCUGCGGAAGGAUCAUUAAUGAUUUUUUAAGCAUACCAAGCUUUUUUUAUAAAAAGUGAGGUUUUGCGAAUGUAUUUAAAACCCCCACUCUUAAAAAAUUAUAUAUUUCAUUCAUAUAAAAUGAAUAAAAAAAAGAUCACUUUCAACAACGGAUCUCUUGGCUCUC
This 194-nucleotide unclassified non-coding RNA is filed under the name Rhizophagus aggregatus. RNAcentral's name for it is "Glomus aggregatum partial internal transcribed spacer region". The stretch from base 1 to 46 matches the Rfam family "Eukaryotic small subunit ribosomal RNA", at positions 1786 to 1831 of the family's 1831-position model. RNAcentral also lists the same sequence under 2 other names. Lineage: Eukaryota; Fungi; Glomeromycota; Glomeromycetes; Glomerales; Glomeraceae. The record is from RNAcentral.